Molecule: ribosomal RNA, 253 nt
Filed under: uncultured bacterium
Lineage: Bacteria
Description: partial 16S ribosomal RNA
Rfam family: Bacterial small subunit ribosomal RNA
Source: RNAcentral
UACGUAGGGUGCAAGCGUUAUCCGGAAUCACUGGGCGUAAAGCGUGCGUAGGUGGAUGUUUAAGUGUGAUGUUAAAUCGUGGGGCUCAACCCUGUCGAUGCAUCGCAUACUGGACGUCUAGAGGGAAGCAGAGGCAAGUGGAAUUGGUAGUGUAGCAGUGAAAUGCGUAGAUAUUACCGGGAACACCAAUGGCGAAGGCAGCUUGCUGGGCUUCUUCUGACACUGAGGUACGAAAGCGUGGGGAGCGAACAGG